Molecule: long non-coding RNA, 713 nt
Organism: Phyllostomus hastatus (greater spear-nosed bat)
Lineage: Eukaryota; Metazoa; Chordata; Mammalia; Chiroptera; Phyllostomidae
Exons: 3
Source: RefSeq, a predicted model, not a curated record
GCCACGUCUGCUGGAAGCGGCCUCACACUGGCACAGUCACUUCCAUCCCGGGGGGCCCUCUCGGCACCGGGACCUGGGGAGACAGCGGCCGAGGUCCAGCCGGAGCAAGGCCCCGACUGCCCAAGGCUGGCAUCUCAGGCAAUUCGCGAGCACAGGUGGCUCCCCGGCUGCCAGGUGGACUCAGGACGAACUCUGUGUGACACGUGGUCCAGGCCUCCGGCCCCAGCACUAGGGACAGCCUAUCUCGAGCGCACGUGUGUGAUGGCGGCACCUGCAGGGCCGUGUAACAGGGUCUGUCCUACUCCAGGCUGGGAUCAGAUGCUGCCUUCUUCAGCGUCAUUCAGAAGACGCAUCUGGAUGCCGGGGUGCGUCCUCCGAAAAGCGGAGCGUGAUUUGGGAACACCAGGAUGCUCGGGACAGGAUCUCCGUGGUCUUCGCAGCCCCACAGGAGCAGGCGGGUUGCCGAGUGUUCUGUUUCCCGUGAGCGCGCGCGUUAUUGUGUGCGAAAGCCAUCUGUGCUUGCUCGCCACCAACCACAACGCUGCCUGUCCCCUUGGCUGGGUCCUACCCCGCCUCCUCCUCGCCAAUGCAACCCGCUUGGUGACUUGGAGGAAUCGGACUGUACACCUGGCUUCAACUCGAUGCCUUCCAACGGGUUCUUUUCUUUUUUUUUUAAAUAUAAUCUUUAUUAUAUUUUUUCCCAUUACCAUUUA